ACGUUACCAAACUGUUGCCUCGGCGGGAUCUCUGCCCCGGGUGCGUCGCAGCCCCGGACCAAGGCGCCCGCCGGAGGACCAACCAAAACUCUUAUUGUAUACCCCCUCGCGGGUUUUUUUUAUAAUCUGAGCCUUCUCGGCGCCUCUCGUAGGCGUUUCGAAAAUGAAUCAAAACUUUCAACAACGGAUCUCUUGGUUCUGGCAUCGAUGAAGAACGCAGCGAAAUGCGAUAAGUAAUGUGAAUUGCAGAAUUCAGUGAAUCAUCGAAUCUUUGAACGCACAUUGCGCCCGCCAGUAUUCUGGCGGGCAUGCCUGUCCGAGCGUCAUUUCAACCCUCGAACCCCUCCGGGGGGUCGGCGUUGGGGAUCGGCCCUGCCUUGGCGGUGGCCGUCUCCGAAAUACAGUGGCGGUCUCGCCGCAGCCUCUCCUGCGCAGUAGUUUGCACACUCGCAUCGGGAGCGCGGCGCGUCCACAGCCGUUAAACACCCAACUUCUGAAAUGUUGACCUCGGAUCAGGUAGGAAUACCCGCUGAACUUAAGCAUAUCAAUAANGCG
RNAcentral lists this ribosomal RNA (555 nucleotides) under Trichoderma hamatum. RNAcentral's name for it is "eukaryotic LSU rRNA". The stretch from base 173 to 326 matches the Rfam family "5.8S ribosomal RNA". Lineage: Eukaryota; Fungi; Ascomycota; Sordariomycetes; Hypocreales; Hypocreaceae. The record is from RNAcentral.